UAACACAUGCACCAAGCACACAA
This 23-nucleotide unclassified non-coding RNA is filed under the name Mus musculus (house mouse). RNAcentral's name for it is "oocyte_clustered_small_RNA4696". The record is from RNAcentral. Lineage: Eukaryota; Metazoa; Chordata; Mammalia; Rodentia; Muridae.